This 1160-nucleotide long non-coding RNA is filed under the name Callithrix jacchus (white-tufted-ear marmoset). RNAcentral's name for it is "lncRNA (ENSCJAG00000080954.1)". The record is from RNAcentral. Lineage: Eukaryota; Metazoa; Chordata; Mammalia; Primates; Cebidae.
CUUCUCCUCUUACUUGUUUGUAUGUUGCAAAUUUUAAAUGGGGAAACUUGAACUAUCAAAAACAGAUUUUCCUCCAGAGAACAGGCAUCAGGGCUUAUAUAAGAUCUGGUACUUUUAUUUGGGUGGCCUAAGAAUAACUUAGCUAGCCUCGCAAGAGGAAGGAUGUGUCCACCUUCUCAGUUACCACUAAUAGCAUCCUCUGUCUUUGCUUGAUGUAGAAUCUUUUAGAUCAUGACUAAAGCCUGGACAAGCUUCUCUGGAACCAAUGACAGGGAGUCCUUCAAAGUGAGUGCUCUGGCCCAUGGUGGGAUUUGAUUUAUCUUACCGAAUCAGCUUGUCACAAGUCUAAAUUAUUCAUUUCUUGGCCAGAGUGACAAGCCAUAGAACACUUGUUUGCAGCCACCUGAUUUCUACUGGACUCACAGCAUCAAAGGAGCAAAGAAACAUUUGUCCUGAUUGAAAGCUGAGUCACAUAGAGAGGGGUCGAAGGACUGAAUGGAAAUGAAGAGGUAAACAUGAAAAUGAAAAUGUUGAGAAGGCUGGUAUUGGAUGCCUGGAGCUCACGUGCUGACUGCAAGCAGAAUGGAAGAUAUUGAGGACGUUACUGGGGAGAGAAGAUAAUGGAGAAGGUGGAAAAGCUCCAGGGAAAUAAGACUUGAUUUCAGGACUCCUCUGGUGCUGAGAGUUGAUUGGCUACAGUCAGUCUACAGCCUUGCUUUGCGGGUGGUGGAGAGAAUAUCAAGACCUAGGCUCCCCUGAUCUCCCUGCAUCCCCGUCGUUUUUGGCAAUGUCGCUAAUCGGCCCAGCAGCCUGAAUCCACACGUCCCAGCGUCCAGGUUCUGCAAGGUGCAGCUGGUCUCGGGCCCUGUCUCAGAAUACAGAAGUAAUCAGAAUUUAUUCACGUGGCUGACUGAGAGUUUUGACACCAAAGGGCAAUCCUGUCUGAUUGAUACCACUCAAACGGCAAUAUUGUUUGAAGAAAUGUAGUUAGAGAGAUGGCAAUUUAAAGGCUGUAAGAAGUUACAGGAAAAAGGUUUGCGAAUAGAGACUUUAAAUUACUCCUGUACCCUUGGCCCCAAGGAAGGCUCUCCAGACAGAAAGUUGCCUGCAAGUCCUGGUGCUAGAUUUUGAGUAUGACACUGCUCUUCACUACUCUGUCC